Molecule: long non-coding RNA, 1963 nt
Organism: Prinia subflava (tawny-flanked prinia)
Lineage: Eukaryota; Metazoa; Chordata; Aves; Passeriformes; Cisticolidae
Exons: 3
Source: RefSeq, a predicted model, not a curated record
AGAAAAAAAAAAUAUAUAUAUACAACAUACCAAGCACUUCUGAGUACUUCAAAACAACAAGUGCCUUGAGAAUGGGACCACUCUAGGCUGGUAUCACUGAACUGCCUUCAAAGCACACUGAAAAACACACGUUCCCCCUUAAGUCAUUGCCAGAAGUCCUACCAAAGUAGACAAGAAAUGUGCUCCUCCCCUCACUUUCCUCUGACAUGAAUGUAUUUAACUAAGAGUCCAAGGCACCACCACAGAUGAGAGGAGUCAGAGAGCAGAAUGAAGCCCAGGUUCAGGGCAUGAGUCCAGAGGAUGCACAAUGACUUCAUUUAGUGUAUAGAUCGAUAUACAGGCUGCAGCUUCAAUCAUGCUGAACAGACGUGAACAAGAUUAUGAGAAUCUCCAUCCCGAAUCUCCCAGGAGCCUAUUUAUCUCUCUUCUGCCUCAAUCUUCCUGACACAGGAAAGUUUGACAGGAGACUCCACCUAGUGUGAAAACAACCUGGGAAUAUUCUUCCCUAGCCCCUCUUUGUAGUGGUGUACCAAACUCUGACAAGCUGGGACACCACUGGAGAGGGUAAGUCAGAGCAGCCCUCAGGCAGCACAGCCACUGACUAAGGACAAGUUCCUCCUCAGCCAAGACCCAGAAAAGGCACCCAAGGAUACAGGUUCCUUCCCAGCCAUGGUUUUUUCAAUGCUCUUUUUCAUCAACAGCAUUGAAAGAUUUUCAAGGUAGCUCCAUCUUCCAUGGCAUCGUUUAAGUGGAAGCUGUAGCACUGUAAAAGCUGUGACAGUGUAAAGUAGGUAUCUAUUACCUGUUCUACACAAACCCCCCUCCUUUUUGGAAACACUAUUCACAGUUUGCAUCCACAGUGGAAAACUCAAUCCACCUGCAUCUCCCCCCACAGCAGGCAAUAACUCCAUGUGGAUUUUCUACCUGCAGCCAUUUUGAGUCCUCAGUGCAACGUGAAAUGGAAGUACAGAUGGGAGUCAGAGACAGGAAAUCAGGGGUCCUGCACAGUAACUUCAUGUAGGGUCAGCCCAGGCAACUGAACGAAAUGGAACUGUUGGGCCAUGAAAAGGUGCCCACUCUGACACACAAAAAUAUGAAACCUAUUAAACAUGCAAAUGGCUGAAAGGUCAGGCAACUCUUCUGAUCCUAAAGAUGCAAGACUGCUUUGGGUAAGGAUCUUGGCAGCAGAACAUUUUUUUUGUUGCUUAAUCUUGAGGGAAAAGCAGGCAAAAAAAGAGCAAAGUGAAAAACAGGGGAGGGUGUAUGCGCGUGGGAAAAGUAUUUACAUACAAGGAUAGCAGUCUCAAGGGACAGUGGUGUGAGUAAAUCUUGCAGGGCUCAGAAAGUAGUAAACAGUUCAAAAAACCCCAAGUGGUUACUUGGUGUCAGUCAAUACUGACACCUCCUCUCCCUAAAACAGGCUUCAGCUACAGUUCUUUUGGCAAACUGUUUCUCACUGUGAAUAUACAGGAGGAAUCCAGUGUUUGUUUCCAUUUCUUACUGUCCUCCCUUCUAGUUCUCAUUUUUUCCACAUCCUUCCCCUGCACCUCGUGCUCAAAUUCCCACUGGCAAUCCUUUAGCAGGAAGCUUCUUUAGUCAGCUGCAGUAUGUCCCACAGCAACAGUCUACCCACACCUCAGCAGUUCCUAGAUGUCCAGACCUCAGCCUUUUGCAACGCAGCUAGAGAGCGCUUAUAGUGGUCAUGAACACUUUAAGCCCUUUACCUGCUGCAUCCAGUCCACAAUGGAGCCACAAAAACAUAGAUGUCCCAGCGUGAUAGAUGGGUAAUGAGGAAACAGGUCAAUUAAGCAGCACUACCACCCACAUCUUAUCAUUAUAGCCAGACUGCUGCUUUGCUUUGUUAAGAUCCAACUGAUCUCAUUUCCCCUCUGGCCCCAUUGGUUGCUGGUCGACCUCUGGAUCCACUAAGGACGAUGCAAACGCUGACUGGACGAUCUGAAAC